Molecule: transfer RNA, 77 nt
Filed under: Timspurckia oligopyrenoides
Lineage: Eukaryota; Rhodophyta; Bangiophyceae; Porphyridiales; Porphyridiaceae
Source: RNAcentral
AUACACAGCCUUCGACAGAGAACCCAGAAGACAGAUUGGACGCGUUUCGAGCGAUGAUAUCAUGUCCAACAUCAUCA